This 468-nucleotide ribosomal RNA is filed under the name uncultured bacterium. RNAcentral's name for it is "partial 16S ribosomal RNA". It matches the Rfam family "Bacterial small subunit ribosomal RNA", at positions 28 to 507 of the family's 1533-position model. The record is from RNAcentral.
GAUGAACGCUGGCGGCGUGCUUAACACAUGCAAGUCGAACGGAAAGGCCCAAGCUUGCUUGGGUACUCGAGUGGCGAACGGGUGAGUAACACGUGGGUGAUCUGCCCUGCACUUCGGGAUAAGCCUGGGAAACUGGGUCUAAUACCGGAUAGGACGAUGGUUUGGAUGCCAUUGUGGAAAGUUUUUUCGGUGUGGGAUGAGCUCGCGGCCUAUCAGCUUGUUGGUGGGGGAAUGGCCUACCAAGGCGUCGACGGGUAGCCGGCCUGAGAGGGGGUACGGCCACAUGGCGACUGGGAUACGGCCCAGACUCCUACGGGAGGCAGCAGUGGGGAAUAUUGCACAAUGGGCGCAAGCCUGAUGCAGCGACGCCGCGUGGGGGAUGACGGCCUUCGGGUUGUAAACUCCUUUCGCUAGGGACGAAGCGUUUUUGUGACGGUACCUGGAGAAGAAGCACCGGCUAACUACGUG